RNAcentral lists this ribosomal RNA (480 nucleotides) under uncultured bacterium. RNAcentral describes it as "partial 16S ribosomal RNA". It matches the Rfam family "Bacterial small subunit ribosomal RNA", at positions 28 to 523 of the family's 1533-position model. The record is from RNAcentral.
GACGAACGCUGGCGGCGUGCUUAACACAUGCAAGUCGAACGGAAAGGCCCGCUUGCGGGUACUCGAGUGGCGAACGGGUGAGUAACACGUGGGCAACCUGCCCUCAGCUUCGGGAUAACACUUGGAAACAGGUGCUAAUACCGGAUAAUAACCUUUCAUCGCAUGGUGGUUGGUUCAAAGUUCUUCGGCUGAGGAUGGGCCCGCGGCCUAUCAGCUUGUUGGUGGGGUGAUGGCCUACCAAGGCGACGACGGGUAGCCGGCCUGAGAGGGCGACGGGCCAGACUGGGACUGGGACACGGCCCAGACUCCUACGGGAGGCAGCAGAGGGGAAUAUUGCGCAAUGGGCGGAAGCCUGGCGGAGCGACGCGGCGUGAGGGGUGACGGCCUUCGGGUUGUAAGCCUCUUUCAGCGCCGACGAAGCGCAAGUGACGGUAGGAGCAGAAGAAGCACCGGCCAACUACGUGCCAGCAGCCGCCGUAA